This 460-nucleotide ribosomal RNA is filed under the name uncultured bacterium. Its description in RNAcentral is "partial 16S ribosomal RNA". It matches the Rfam family "Bacterial small subunit ribosomal RNA", at positions 338 to 795 of the family's 1533-position model. The record is from RNAcentral.
CCUACGGGAGGCAACAGUGAGGAAUAUUGGUCAAUGGACGAGAGUCUGAACCAGCCAAGUAGCGUGAAGGAUGACUGCCCUAUGGGUUGUAAACUUCUUUUAUAAAUGAAUAAAACGAGGCACGUGUGCCUUUUUGCAUGUACUUUAUGAAUAAGGAUCGGCUAACUCCGUGCCAGCCGCCGCGGUAAUACGGAGGAUCCGAGCGUUAUCCGGAUUUAUUGGGUUUAAAGGGAGCGUAGAUGGGUUGUUAAGUCAGUUGUGAAAGUUUGCGGCUCAACCGUAAAAUUGCAAUUGAUACUGGCAGUCUUGAGUACAGUUGAGGUAGGCGGAAUUCGUGGUGUAGCGGUGAAAUGCUUAGAUAUCACGAAGAACCCCGAUUGCGAAGGCAGCUUACUAAACUGUGACUGACAUUGAUGCUCGAAAGUGUGGGUAUCAAACAGGAUUAGAUACCCCUGUAGUC